This 502-nucleotide ribosomal RNA is filed under the name uncultured bacterium. Its description in RNAcentral is "partial 16S ribosomal RNA". It matches the Rfam family "Bacterial small subunit ribosomal RNA", at positions 30 to 523 of the family's 1533-position model. The record is from RNAcentral.
AUUGAACGCUGGCGGAAUGCUUUACACAUGCAAGUCGAACGGCAGCACGGGUGCUUGCACCUGGUGGCGAGUGGCGAACGGGUGAGUAAUACAUCGGAACGUACCCAGUUAUGGGGGAUAACUAACCGAAAGGUUAGCUAAUACCGCAUACGCCCUGAGGGGGAAAGCGGGGGACCGUAAGGCCUCGCGUAAUUGGAGCGGCCGAUGUCUGAUUAGCUAGUUGGUGAGGUAAAGGCUCACCAAGGCGACGAUCAGUAGCAGGUCUGAGAGGAUGAUCUGCCACACUGGAACUGAGACACGGUCCAGACUCCUACGGGAGGCAGCAGUGGGGAAUUUUGGACAAUGGGCGAAAGCCUGAUCCAGCCAUUCCGCGUGCAGGAUGAAGGCCCUCGGGUUGUAAACUGCUUUUGUACAGAACGAAAAGGUUUCUACUAAUACUAGGAGCUCAUGACGGUACCGUAAGAAUAAGCACCGGCUAACUACGUGCCAGCCGCCGCCGUAA